CUUAUCAAUCCAACUCUUGCCAACAAAAGCAAACUCUUGCCUGCUAUAUCGGAAGUUUUCAAUCCAAGCAUUCGUCAUGGCAUGCAAGAUGUCCAUAAUAGUUGUGUUUGUGGUCAUUUUAGUAGCCAUGUCAUGUUACGGUAUUAAAGCCGACACCGCCAAGUGUAAGAUUUACUGGGCAAACCUUCCUGGUCCUUGUGAAGAUGAAAAAUGUACGAACUUUUGCAUACAAAAAAAGUAUCAAGACGGUACAUGUGGUUUUAGUGGUCCUCAACUAGAUAUUACUUGCUUCUGCUACAACUGUGUGGAUAAGACGUCGGUACAACCACAGCUUGGGGAGCCAUAUAGAGCUUGAAUAUGCAAAUAUGAUGGACACUCCACCUGUGAAAGAAUAGUGCUCUUAGUUGGUCGCAUUUA
Long non-coding RNA from Lolium perenne, 417 nucleotides. RefSeq lists it as uncharacterized. Lineage: Eukaryota; Viridiplantae; Streptophyta; Magnoliopsida; Poales; Poaceae. The record is from RefSeq and is a predicted model, not a curated record.